RNAcentral lists this ribosomal RNA (433 nucleotides) under uncultured bacterium. RNAcentral's name for it is "partial 16S ribosomal RNA". It matches the Rfam family "Bacterial small subunit ribosomal RNA", at positions 29 to 507 of the family's 1533-position model. The record is from RNAcentral.
AACGAACGCUGGCGGCAUGCCUAACACAUGCAAGUCGAACGAGACCUUCGGGUCUAGUGGCGCACGGGUGCGUAACGCGUGGGAACCUGCCCUUAGGUUCGGAAUAACUCCCCGAAAGGGGUGCUAAUACCGGAUAAUGUCUUCGGUCCAAAGAUUUAUCGCCUUUGGAUGGGCCGGCGUUGGAUUAGCUGGUUGGUAGGGUAAAAGCCUACCAAGGCGACGAUCCAUAGCUGGUCUGUGAGGAUGGGCAGCCACACUGGGACUGAGACACGGCCCAGACUCCUACAGGAGGGAGCAGAGGGGAAUAUAGGACAGUGGCGGGAGUGCUGAAGCAGCAAGGCCGGGUAAGUGAUGAAGGCCUGGGGGUAGUAAAGCACUUUUACCCGGGAUGAUAAUGACGGUACCAAGAGAAUAAGCACCGGCUAACUCCGUG